GCACUUGUAGCUUAGUGGAUAGAGCGCUUGUUUCCUAACCUAAAGGUCGUAGGUUCGACCCCUACUUGGCGCA
This 73-nucleotide transfer RNA is filed under the name Nicotiana sylvestris (wood tobacco). It matches the Rfam family "tRNA". From Rfam's summary of the family: Transfer RNA (tRNA) molecules are approximately 80 nucleotides in length. Lineage: Eukaryota; Viridiplantae; Streptophyta; Magnoliopsida; Solanales; Solanaceae. The record is from Rfam by way of RNAcentral.